UUAAAAUAAAGUAAAAUUAAAAUUUAAUUAAAUUGUAAAUAUAAAUACAAAAAUAUAAAAAUAUAUAAAAUGCAUAAAAUGCUAAUAAUAUUAAAAUGAAAUAACAUAAAAAUACGAGCAUUAAAUUAAAAGAGAAAUAAAUAAAAUUACCGAAAAAUCUAAAACACGAGCUUCGCCGAACGGGUUGCUAAAAUUGAACCCCCUUUUUCUUCCUUUUUUCUUUUUUUCUUUUUUCUUUUUUUCUUUUUUCCUUUUUUCUUCUUUUUCUUCCUUUUUUUUUUCUGCUGGGCUGCCUUGUUGGGCUGGCUUGCGCGGGCCUGCUGGUUGGUGGCCUGUUGGCUGCUUGUUGGGCUGCUGGAAUUGGGCCUAUUGUUGGCCUGCCC
Molecule: long non-coding RNA, 383 nt
Filed under: Gossypium barbadense (sea-island cotton)
Lineage: Eukaryota; Viridiplantae; Streptophyta; Magnoliopsida; Malvales; Malvaceae
Description: long non-coding RNA (GBAR_LNC004296)
Source: RNAcentral